UUAGGUGGCUAUAGCGUCAGGGUUCCACCUCUUCCCAUUCCGAACAGAGAAGUUAAGCCUGACAACGCCGAUGGUACUGCGUAAGUGGGAGAGUAGGUAGCUGCCUUCU
This 109-nucleotide ribosomal RNA is filed under the name Bacteroidaceae bacterium. The record is from RNAcentral. Lineage: Bacteria; Pseudomonadati; Bacteroidota; Bacteroidia; Bacteroidales; Bacteroidaceae.